Long non-coding RNA from Anthonomus grandis grandis, 470 nucleotides. RefSeq lists it as uncharacterized. Lineage: Eukaryota; Metazoa; Arthropoda; Insecta; Coleoptera; Curculionidae. The record is from RefSeq and is a predicted model, not a curated record. The transcript is spliced from 3 exons.
CCCCAGUUGUGGCAAAUCAAAAAUAAAGAAAUUUACAACAACAGGAAUUUAAAGAAUCAUGCUUACGUCGAGUUACUUAAAAUUUGGAAGAAGUUUGAUACCGAAGCCGAUCAAAAGACCGUAAAAUCAAAAAUUCAGUCACUAAGAGGAUCUUUCCGAAAGGAACUAAAAAAGGUUGAAAAGUCGGAGCGAUCCGGCAAAGGAACUGAGAAAAUCUACAAAUCACAUUUGUGGUACUUUAACUUAAUGAUGUUCCUAAUAGACCAAGAAUGACCAGCAGAGAGUAUCGAUAAUAUUACGUCCGUAACUCCAAAUCUGACUGAAGUUGGUGAAAGUCAGGAAGCUAAUCAAAAAGUAAAUGAAGAUACUGGGAGAAUAGAAGAUAAUGAAGGAAUAGAAGAAACAAAUGAGGUAAUGAACACACCAUCAGUUGUCGAAAAAGGGAAAAGGAAAUAUGCUGAAGAAAACGG